Hyaena hyaena (striped hyena) is the source of this 125-nucleotide small nucleolar RNA. RefSeq annotates it as small nucleolar RNA SNORA28. NCBI's taxonomy places the organism in Eukaryota, Metazoa, Chordata, Mammalia, Carnivora, Hyaenidae. The transcript has a single exon. The record is from RefSeq and is a predicted model, not a curated record.
AGGCAGCGCUCUGUGGCAGAUGGUUGAAAUUGACUAACACACUAUGAACUUGCUACAGCAAGAAGGUCUAACCUAUUCAGGUGUUUUCUCCUUGUGAGACCAGCUGUUGCAUAGGCUUAACCAGG